RNAcentral lists this ribosomal RNA (586 nucleotides) under Propionibacterium acidifaciens. Its description in RNAcentral is "bacterial SSU rRNA". It matches the Rfam family "Bacterial small subunit ribosomal RNA", at positions 375 to 971 of the family's 1533-position model. The record is from RNAcentral. Lineage: Bacteria; Bacillati; Actinomycetota; Actinomycetes; Propionibacteriales; Propionibacteriaceae.
GCGGAAGCCUGAUGCAGCAACGCCGCGUGCGGGAUGACGGCCUUCGGGUUGUAAACCGCUUUCACCCAUGACGAAGCGCGAGUGACGGUAGUGGGGGAAGAAGCACCGGCCAACUACGUGCCAGCAGCCGCGGUGAUACGUAGGGUGCGAGCGUUGUCCGGAAUUAUUGGGCGUAAAGAGCUUGUAGGCGGUUGAUCGCGUCGAUAGUGAAAUCCCGGGGCUCAACCUCGGGCUUGCUGUCGAUACGGGUUGACUUGAGGAAGGUAGGGGAGAAUGGAACUCCCGGUGGAGCGGUGGAAUGCGCAGAUAUCGGGAAGAACACCGGUGGCGAAGGCGGUUCUCUGGACCUUUCCUGACGCUGAGAAGCGAAAGCGUGGGGGGCAAACAGGCUUAGAUACCCUGGUAGUCCACGCUGUAAACGGUGGGUACUAGGUGUGGGUCACAUUCCACGUGAUCCGUGCCGUAGCCAACGCAUUAAGUACCCCGCCUGGGGAGUACGGCCGCAAGGCUAAAACUCAAAGGAAUUGACGGGGGCCCGCACAAGCGGCGGAGCAUGCGGAUUAAUUCGAUGCAACGCGAAGAACCU